RNAcentral lists this ribosomal RNA (229 nucleotides) under uncultured bacterium. RNAcentral describes it as "partial 16S ribosomal RNA". It matches the Rfam family "Bacterial small subunit ribosomal RNA", at positions 568 to 796 of the family's 1533-position model. The record is from RNAcentral.
UGCGUAGGCGGAAGAUUAAGUCAGUGAUGAAGUCCUGCAGCUCAACUGUAGAACUGUCAUUGAUACUGAUUUCCUUGAAUUCAGUUGAGGUAGGCGGAAUGUGUAAUGUAGCGGUGAAAUGCUUAGAUAUUACACAGAACACCAAUUGCGAAGGCAGCUUACUAAGCUGAGAUUGACGCUGAGGCACGAAAGCGUGGGGAGCGAACAGGAUUAGAUACCCUGGUAGUCC